This 172-nucleotide ribosomal RNA is filed under the name Pseudo-nitzschia multistriata. Its description in RNAcentral is "5.8S ribosomal RNA". It matches the Rfam family "5.8S ribosomal RNA". Rfam says of the family: 5.8S ribosomal RNA (5.8S rRNA) is a component of the large subunit of the eukaryotic ribosome. It is transcribed by RNA polymerase I as part of the 45S precursor that also contains 18S and 28S rRNA. The record is from RNAcentral. RNAcentral also lists the same sequence under 2 other names. Lineage: Eukaryota; Bacillariophyta; Bacillariophyceae; Bacillariales; Bacillariaceae.
UAAUACAUUACAACUUUCAGCGGUGGAUGUCUAGGUUCCCACAACGAUGAAGAACGCAGCGAAAUGCGAUACGUAAUGCGAAUUGCAAGACCUCGUGAAUCAUUAAGAUUUUGAACGCACAUUGCGCUUUCGGGAUUUUCCCGGUAGCAUGCUUGUCUGAGUGUCUGUGGAU